RNAcentral lists this ribosomal RNA (440 nucleotides) under uncultured bacterium. RNAcentral's name for it is "bacterial SSU rRNA". It matches the Rfam family "Bacterial small subunit ribosomal RNA", at positions 954 to 1392 of the family's 1533-position model. The record is from RNAcentral.
GCAUAACGCGAAGAACCUUACCAGGUCUUGACAUCGAGGCAAAGCCGUAGAGAUACGGUGUUCAGCAAUGAAGCCGAAGACAGGUGGUGCAUGGUUGUCGUCAGCUCGUGUCGUGAGAUGUUGGGUUAAGUCCCGCAACGAGCGCAACCCUUAUGGUCAGUUACUAACGGGUAAAGCCGAGGACUCUGACGAGACUCGGCCGGGGACAACUCGGAGGAAGGUGGGGACGACGUCAAAUCAUCAUGCCCCUUAUGACCUGGGCUACACACGUGCUACAAUGGUGGUAACAAAGAGGCGCGAGCCCGUAAGGGGGAGCGGAUCUCAAAAAAGCCAUCUCAGUUCGGAUUGUGGGCUGCAACCCGCCCACAUGAAGUUGGAGUUGCUAGUAAUCGCGGAUCAGCAUGCCGCGGUGAAUACGUUCCCGGGUCUUGUACACACCG